This 225-nucleotide ribosomal RNA is filed under the name uncultured Acinetobacter sp. Its description in RNAcentral is "partial 16S ribosomal RNA". It matches the Rfam family "Bacterial small subunit ribosomal RNA", at positions 568 to 792 of the family's 1533-position model. Lineage: Bacteria; Pseudomonadati; Pseudomonadota; Gammaproteobacteria; Moraxellales; Moraxellaceae. The record is from RNAcentral.
UGCGUAGGCGGCUUUUUAAGUCGGAUGUGAAAUCCCCGAGCUUAACUUGGGAAUUGCAUUCGAUACUGGGAAGCUAGAGUAUGGGAGAGGAUGGUAGAAUUCCAGGUGUAGCGGUGAAAUGCGUAGAGAUCUGGAGGAAUACCGAUGGCGAAGGCAGCCAUCUGGACUGUAACUGACGCUGAGGCGCGAAAGCGUGGGGAGCAAACAGGAUUAGAUACCCCUGUA